Molecule: ribosomal RNA, 773 nt
Filed under: Streptococcus anginosus
Lineage: Bacteria; Bacillati; Bacillota; Bacilli; Lactobacillales; Streptococcaceae
Description: bacterial SSU rRNA
Rfam family: Bacterial small subunit ribosomal RNA
Source: RNAcentral
GACGAACGCUGGCGGCGUGCCUAAUACAUGCAAGUAGGACGCACAGUUUAUACCGUAGCUUGCUACACCAUAGACUGUGAGUUGCGAACGGGUGAGUAACGCGUAGGUAACCUGCCUAUUAGAGGGGGAUAACUAUUGGAAACGAUAGCUAAUACCGCAUAACAGUAUGUAACACAUGUUAGAUGCUUGAAAGAUGCAAUUGCAUCGCUAGUAGAUGGACCUGCGUUGUAUUAGCUAGUAGGUAGGGUAAUGGCCUAUCUAGGCGACGAUACAUAGCCGACCUGAGAGGGUGAUCGGCCACACUGGGACUGAGACACGGCCCAGACUCCUACGGGAGGCAGCAGUAGGGAAUCUUCGGCAAUGGGGGGAACCCUGACCGAGCAACGCCGCGUGAGUGAAGAAGGUUUUCGGAUCGUAAAGCUCUGUUGUUAAGGAAGAACGAGUGUGAGAAUGGAAAGUUCAUACUGUGACGGUACUUAACCAGAAAGGGACGGCUAACUACGUGCCAGCAGCCGCGGUAAUACGUAGGUCCCGAGCGUUGUCCGGAUUUAUUGGGCGUAAAGCGAGCGCAGGCGGUUAGAAAAGUCUGAAGUGAAAGGCAGUGGCUCAACCAUUGUAGGCUUUGGAAACUGUUUAACUUGAGUGCAGAAGGGGAGAGUGGAAUUCCAUGUGUAGCGGUGAAAUGCGUAGAUAUAUGGAGGAACACCGGUGGCGAAAGCGGCUCUCUGGUCUGUAACUGACGCUGAGGCUCGAAAGCGUGGGGAGCGAACAGG